GGGAGGGAGAGAAGGGGGAGUGGGGAAGUUGAUGGGUUUGAAAACAGCAAAAAACUAAAUGAUCAUAGUCUAAAUCAUUUGCUUUUGAUUAAACUAGGUAAACAGCAGUAAUCAUAAUGCCACCUCCUAAGAGUUGCUUGCCUCAACUCUAAAUUAAAUAUGGUAAUAUUUUACACAGUUAUUUUAAGGAUAAACCUAGAAGUUUCAAUUUCAAGAACAUUAAUUUUCUUGGAUGCUGUAAGAAGCUACAAGGACCAGGCAGGGAUUCAGUUCUUCCACCAGUGGAAGCUUCUUCAGAGAACUCAAUCACCACAAGCUUUGUCUUUAAACUCUGAACAACCUUCAGUUUGCUAAAACUCAAUGUCCUUAUGUUAAACAAUAUGAAAAGAUGUUUCAAAUCUCAGUACCAGUGAUAUAAGAGAGUAAGUUUUACAGUUUAAAUUUCAAUUAGGUUAAACUUCCCUACAGAAAUUAAAGCAAACCAGAAGAAACCAUUAAGAUAAUAAGCAAAAAUCUUUACCCUAUUUAGAGCCACUGGAGGAACAGUUCCUUAAAAAGGGAAAGAAUUUCUUACUGAAACUGCUGCUUCAACUGAAAUACAAUACACCAAGAACUCUGCGAUCUUAAUGAUUAAAUAUCAGGCUAUAUACCACAAAGGAGGAAAUUCUACAUCCUAAGUUCUUUCUCUCAUACCAUUUGGACAUUAAGCAGGAUGCAAAAACAAAUGCUGAUCUUAAAAAUGUAACAUUUUUAGUAUACUUGGGACUUCCCUGGUGUCGCAGUGGUUAAGAAUCCGCCUGCCAAUGCAAGGGACACGGGUUCGAUCCACGGUCUGGGAAGAUCCCACAUACCGCGGAACAACUAAGCCCGCAAGUCACAACUACUGAGCCCAUGUGCCACAACUACUGAAGCCCGCGCACUGCAGCAAAGAGCCCCUGCUCGCCACAACUAGAGAAAGCCUGAGCACAGCAACAAAGACCCAGCGCAGCCAAAAAUAAGUAAAUAAAAUUAAAAAACAAAACAGUAUACUUGACCCUUAG
This is a long non-coding RNA of Orcinus orca (killer whale), 1040 nucleotides long. RefSeq lists it as uncharacterized. The record is from RefSeq and is a predicted model, not a curated record. The transcript is spliced from 2 exons. Lineage: Eukaryota; Metazoa; Chordata; Mammalia; Artiodactyla; Delphinidae.